AAGGGAGACCUAAUUCAGGUAUGGGACGAAAAAAAAGUAGUAGCUACCAAGAAUCAAUCCCAAAAGGUCGGAGCGAGGUAUGAGGCUUUCAAACUAGGUUCUGGGUUCAAACAAGACCUGAAUCAGGAACAAGGGCUAUUAGCUCAGGUGGUUAGAGCGCACCCCUGAUAAGGGUGAGGUCCCUGGUUCGAGUCCAGGAUGGCCCACCUGCACAGGUGGCAAAAAAAGAGAAGCGAGGAAUCAGCACCUUAUCUUAUCUAUAUAUAUAUAGGAGAGAAUGCUGGCUCUGAGUAAAGAGUCCAGAGGAACCUUGAAAACUGCAUAGAGCUAGGUGAAAAAGCCAAAAAAGAAGACCGCAAGGUCAAGCUAAUAAGGGCUAACGGUGGAUACCUAGGCAC
RNAcentral lists this transfer RNA (398 nucleotides) under uncultured Microcystis sp. Its description in RNAcentral is "partial contains 16S-23S ribosomal RNA intergenic spacer, and 23S ribosomal RNA". The stretch from base 133 to 206 matches the Rfam family "tRNA". Lineage: Bacteria; Bacillati; Cyanobacteriota; Cyanophyceae; Chroococcales; Microcystaceae. The record is from RNAcentral.